CUACGGAGGGUGCAAGCGUUGUUCGGAAUCACUGGGCGUAAAGGGCGCGCAGGCGGUUUGGUAAGUCAGAUGUGAAAGCCCACGGCUCAACCGUGGAAGUGCAUUUGAAACUGUCAGACUUGAGUACUAGAGGGGAAAGUGGAAUUCCCGGUGUAGAGGUGAAAUUCGUAGAUAUCGGGAGGAAUACCGGUGGCGAAGGCGACUUUCUGGCUAGAUACUGACGCUGAGGCGCGAAAGCGUGGGGAGCAAACAGGAUUAGAAACCCCAGUAGUCC
This 274-nucleotide ribosomal RNA is filed under the name uncultured bacterium. RNAcentral describes it as "partial 16S ribosomal RNA". It matches the Rfam family "Bacterial small subunit ribosomal RNA", at positions 523 to 796 of the family's 1533-position model. The record is from RNAcentral.